GUUUAGUAUUUUGCAUGUUUUGUUUGAUAAUUUGUUUACAGUUUAGUGCAAACUAUGGUCACGAUCGGUGUUAUUGUUGGUUGUUAAAAUAUUGUGAGUGCUCUAUACGCAAAUGAAUAUUCAAGAUGUUAUAUUCUAAAAGAUAUUAGUGGAUGCAGAUAAGAGUGUUUAGUGAGUGCUAUGUUUGAAUAUUGCAAGUGAAAACACAGCCUAUCGAUGUAAUGCGCCGAUAAAUUAUCAUGACUCCAUUGAUGUAAUGCGCUUAAAAACUGCAAUGGCUCCGAAUACAUGAUUACCAGAUAACAAAUCCUGGCGCAGCUUACGUGUGUUCUUCAAUAACGUCGCAAGCUACAGUGGCUGUUGAUAAUUUUUGCAAGUUCUACACCUACAGGAUUCAGUUAUCUGGGCAUUAUAGAUACCCUAUAAUCACCUACGAAGUUAUUUAGGUAUAUUUAUUAAAACCAUUAUGCAAGGUGUGGCAAAAAGUGUAUACUAAGCUGAAAGCUACAUGUGCAGCAUGGUAUAUCUAAGCCCGAAACUGAAAACAGAAUUUAAAUAUUCGCGAAAAAAAUAUAUCAUUUUUCAUAGAAACU
Molecule: long non-coding RNA, 593 nt
Organism: Plutella xylostella (diamondback moth)
Lineage: Eukaryota; Metazoa; Arthropoda; Insecta; Lepidoptera; Plutellidae
Source: RefSeq, a predicted model, not a curated record